Molecule: ribosomal RNA, 533 nt
Filed under: uncultured Emiliania
Lineage: Eukaryota; Haptophyta; Isochrysidales; Noelaerhabdaceae
Description: bacterial SSU rRNA
Rfam family: Bacterial small subunit ribosomal RNA
Source: RNAcentral
CUUUAGUGGCGAACGGGUGCGUAAUACGUGAGAAUCUGCCCUUAGGAGGAGAAUAACUUCUGGAAACGGUUGCUAAGUCUCCAUAUGCCGAGAGGUGAAAUAGUUUAUACUGCCUAGGGAUGAGCUCACGCCUGAUUAGCUUGUUGGUAAGGUAAUGGCUUACCAAGGCCACGAUCAGUAGCUGGUUUGAGAGAACGAUCAGCCACACUGGGACUGAGACACGGCCCAGACUCCUCCGGGAGGCAGCAGUGAGGAAUUUUCCGCAAUGGGCGAAAGCCUGACGGAGCAAUACCGCGUGAGGGAUGAAGGAUUUUGGUCUGUAAACCUCUUUUCUCAAGAAAGAAGUUCUGACGGUACUUGAGGAAUAAGCAUCGGCUAACUCCGUGCCAGCAGCCGCGGUAAUACGGGGGAUGCAAGCGUUAUCCGGAAUCAUUGGGCGUAAAGCGCCUGUAGGUUGUUUAAUAGGUCUGUUGUUAAAGACUAGGGCUUAACCCUAGGAAAGCAAUGGAAACUGCUAGACUUGAGUAUGAUAG